CCUACGGGCGGCAGCAGUGAGGAAUAUUGGUCAAUGGCCGUAAGGCUGAACCAGCCAAGUCGCGUGAGGGAAGAAUGUCCUAUGGAUUGUAAACCUCUUUUGUCAGGGAGUAAAGUGUCGCACGUGUGCUUUUUUGUAAGUACCUUAUGAAUAAGCAUCGGCUAACUCCGUGCCAGCAGCCGCGGUAAUACGGAGGAUCCGAGCGUUAUCCGGAUUUAUUGGGUUUAAAGGGUGCGUAGGCGGCGUUUUAAGUCAGCGGUGAAAUUCUGGGGCUCAACCCUAGUACUGCGGUUGAAACUGGGGAGCUUGAGUGGGCGUGAGGUAUGCGGAAUGCGUGGUGUAGCGGUGAAAUGCUUAGAUAUCACGCAGAACUCCGAUUGCGAAGGCAGCAUACCGGGGCACGACUGACGCUGAAGCACGAAAGCGUGGGUAUCGAACAGGAUUAGAUACCCUGGUAGUC
RNAcentral lists this ribosomal RNA (460 nucleotides) under uncultured bacterium. RNAcentral describes it as "partial 16S ribosomal RNA". It matches the Rfam family "Bacterial small subunit ribosomal RNA", at positions 338 to 795 of the family's 1533-position model. The record is from RNAcentral.